GGUGAACCAGCGGAGGGAUCAUUAA
Molecule: ribosomal RNA, 25 nt
Filed under: Podospora anserina
Lineage: Eukaryota; Fungi; Ascomycota; Sordariomycetes; Sordariales; Podosporaceae
Description: partial 18S ribosomal RNA
Source: RNAcentral